CGGGAGGCAGCAGUGGGGAAUUUUGGACAAUGGGCGAAAGCCUGAUCCAGCAAUGCCGCGUGAGUGAAGAAGGCCUUCGGGUUGUAAAGCUCUUUUGUCAGGGAAGAAACGGUCUGGGCUAAUACCCUAGGCUAAUGACGGUACCUGAAGAAUAAGCACCGGCUAACUACGUGCCAGCAGCCGCGGUAAUACGUAGGGUGCGAGCGUUAAUCGGAAUUACUGGGCGUAAAGGGUGCGCAGGCGGUUGUGCAAGACAGAUGUGAAAUCCCCGGGCUUAACCUGGGAAUUGCAUUUGUGACUGCACGGCUAGAGUGUGUCAGAGGGGGGUAGAAUUCCACGUGUAGCAGUGAAAUGCGUAGAGAUGUGGAGGAAUACCGAUGGCGAAGGCAGCCCCCUGGGAUAACACUGACGCUCAUGCACGAAAGCGUGGGGAGCAAACAGGAUUAGAUACCCUGGUAGUCCACGCCCUAAACGAUGUCAACUAGUUGUUGGGUCUUAAUUGACUUGGUAACGCAGCUAACGCGUGAAGUUGACCGCCUGGGGAGUACGGUCGCAAGAUUAAAACUCAAAGGAAUUGACGGU
This 582-nucleotide ribosomal RNA is filed under the name uncultured bacterium. RNAcentral describes it as "bacterial SSU rRNA". It matches the Rfam family "Bacterial small subunit ribosomal RNA", at positions 342 to 917 of the family's 1533-position model. The record is from RNAcentral.